Molecule: long non-coding RNA, 251 nt
Filed under: Gossypium barbadense (sea-island cotton)
Lineage: Eukaryota; Viridiplantae; Streptophyta; Magnoliopsida; Malvales; Malvaceae
Description: long non-coding RNA (GBAR_LNC002697)
Source: RNAcentral
CUUCAUUAGGUACAAUGGGUUUCACAAUGACCUUCUCAGCAAGUGCCGGAGGAGGUGGAGGGGGCGGAGGUGGGGGAGGCGGAGGCGGAGGAGGAGGUGGAGGGGGCUCCAUCAACAUAGCAUCGUAGCCACUCAUGUCUAUCUCAUGGUCAAAUCUCUUUGGCGUCGUGCCUAUCCUUUCAACAUUUCUCUCUUCCUUGUUCGGUAGCUUUGCAAUAGCCCCCAUUCUUCCCCUCUCUGUUUGAUUACCC